RNAcentral lists this transfer RNA (74 nucleotides) under Archangium gephyra. Its description in RNAcentral is "tRNA-Arg". It matches the Rfam family "tRNA". From Rfam's summary of the family: Transfer RNA (tRNA) molecules are approximately 80 nucleotides in length. Their secondary structure includes four short double-helical elements and three loops (D, anti-codon, and T loops). RNAcentral also lists the same sequence under 21 other names. Lineage: Bacteria; Pseudomonadati; Myxococcota; Myxococcia; Myxococcales; Archangiaceae. The record is from RNAcentral.
GGUCCCGUAGCUCAGUUGGAUAGAGCGGCGGUUUCCUAAACCGCAGGCCGCUGGUUCGAUUCCAGCCGGGGCCA